GACGAACGCUGGCGGCGUGCUUAACACAUGCAAGUCGAACGGAAAGGCCCUGCUUGCAGGGUACUCGAGUGGCGAACGGGUGAGUAACACGUGGGUGAUCUGCCCUGCACUUCGGGAUAAGCCUGGGAAACGGGGUCUAAUACCGGAUAGGAGCCAUUUUUAGUGGGAUGGUUGGAGAGUUUUUUCGGUGUAGGAUGAGCUCGCGGCCUAUCAGCUUGUUGGUGGGGUAAUGGCCUACCAAGGCGGCGACGGGUAGCCGGCCUGAGAGGGUGGACGGCCACAUUGGGACUGAGAUACGGCCCCGACUCCUACGGGAGGCAGCAGUGGGGAAUAUUGAACAAUGGGCGCAAGCCUGAUGCAGCGACGCCGCGUGGGGGAUGACGGCCUUCGGGUUGUAAACUCCUUUCGCUAGGGACGAAGCUUUUUGUGACGGUACCUAGAUAAGAAGCACCGGCUAACUACGUG
Molecule: ribosomal RNA, 465 nt
Filed under: uncultured bacterium
Lineage: Bacteria
Description: partial 16S ribosomal RNA
Rfam family: Bacterial small subunit ribosomal RNA
Source: RNAcentral